CCAAAGAGGGAAAUGAGAAGAGAAUUUCAGUUUUUAAACAAAAAGGGGAACGAAAUGAAAGGAAUUAGAAACUCCAACUCUUCUCGCCUACCCUUUUCUUCUCUGCUUUUUAGCACCAACUCCACUCUAUCCUUACUUCAUCAAUUUCCUUUUUGGAGUAGCAUUCUCCUGCAAACUAUAGGGACUCAAUUACAUCAUCUUAUUGCACAUUAGCAUGCUUUAGCUUGAAAUUUAACUCAUGUUUAACUCAUCAACACAAAGCAAGCAAGUUAUAACACAAUUAAUCACCACAACUUCUCCAAUCAAUACUAAAAGUAGUUCUUCCCUUAUUCAUAAAUCAAAAUUGGCUCAACACAUAGUAACAUACCCAAUAUCUCCCAAUUUCUAUCAUAUAUUCACAUUCCACGCUCCUAAGUGUUCAAUUAUAUAAGCAUCAAACAUUUAGCUAUUUUACCUCAAGCGUCACACAGGAGUUGCAUCCUCUAAUCUGAGUAUUCUACUUUUAUGGACUUAACUAACUGCAAAACAAACAAUAACAUCAUAUUUCUUGGGAUAUCUCAAGUUGAAAUCAUAUUAAAGUCACUUCAAAUAUGUAAUCAUAUAUGAAUCUCAACUUUGAAAUAUCAUAUAAAAUCAACCCCUUCAAAGAAAAAUACAAGCUUUAUCUUUUUAGAAAGAUAUUAAAGUCUAUAUUUAUCAGGAAUUUACAAAAAUACAAUGUCUCAAGUGUAUAAGAAGUUAUAUCACCAAAGGCAGAAACUGCCACUGACCUACGCUUCUUCGUGCAGUACAUUUCAGAAAUUCGUUUGACAUAUCUAACGGUGUUGGAUUUAGCUGAAAUUUUGCAGACACGUACCACUCAUGCCGAAGUUAUUACAGUAAAAAUUUCAAGUUAUUUAGACUACGAUAACACCAUCAGAAGCACCUCGAAACAUACUGCCCUGUCAAGCCGAAAACUGACAGCAAAGUCCCUUUGUUUCAACUUAACAUAUAAUUCAUACUUUUGUCAAAUACAACCAUAGGGACUCAAUUACAUCAUCUUAUUACACAUUAGCAUGCUUUAGCUUGAAAUUUAACUCAUGUUUAACUCAUCAACACAAAGCAAGCAAGUUAUAACACAAUUAAUCACCACAACUUCUCCAAUCAAUACUAAAAGUAGUGCUUCCCUUAUUCAUAAAUCAAAAUUGGCUCAACACAUAGUAACAUACCCAAUAUCUCCCAAUUUCUAUCAUAUAAUCACAUUCCACGCUCCUUAGUGUUCAAUUAUAUAAGCAUCAAACGUUUAGCUAUUUUACCUCAAGAAUGCCCAAAUUCUAGGGUUUUCUGCCUCCAUUUUCCUCUCUGAAAUCCGCCCCUCCGGCAAGGCCCUCCGUCACCGUCGCUGUCUCCGUCACACCGCCACCCCUGCCUCAGGUAGGCUCCCUCUCGAUCUUCCUCUCUCAACCUCUCUCUCUGCUCUCCCCCUCGAUCUCACUCUCUGUCUCUUUCUCUGCUGUUGGCGGCCACUGCGGACCGCCGUGGCGUUGGGCAGCGCCGGAUCAGCCAUCUAUUCUGUGAUUCAGAAAAUUUUAGUGCGGAUCUGGGUGUGUGCGUUGGGUGAGAAGAGAGAAAGUGAUAGAAAGAAAAGGGAGAGGAGGGAGAAGAUGGCGGUUGGCCGCGAUGGAGCUGCCGGGCUCCGGCGAUGGCGCAAAGUGGCUGUGGCGGCGGGACCAUGCGUAUUCAUGGUGGUGGGAUGAAAUCUGAGAGAGAGAGGGAUGAAAUCUGAGAGAGAGAUAGUGAGAUGGGAGGGGGCGCGGCGCAGGAGAGAUAAGGGGAAUAGGGUUGGAGUUGGGUUUGUGUUGGGUUUAAUAUGGGUAUAAAAUGUUAAUGAAGAGAAAAAAAAUAAAAUAUUUUUAAUUUUGUUUUUUUCAUAAUUUAUUUAUUUUUUAUGAUUUUUAUACCAUAUUAAAUAUUUUUUCAUUAACUUAAAUUUAAGAUGUAGUAUUAAGUAUUUUUUUUAUGAAUUAAAUUUGAUGAUGUUCAUAAAAAAAAUUAAAGAAAAAAAUAGUAAAAAAAAAUUAGUGAAAGAAGAGAGAGAAAAAA
This 2082-nucleotide long non-coding RNA is filed under the name Salvia miltiorrhiza (redroot sage). RNAcentral describes it as "long non-coding RNA (SMIL_LNC000041)". The record is from RNAcentral. Lineage: Eukaryota; Viridiplantae; Streptophyta; Magnoliopsida; Lamiales; Lamiaceae.